AGAGUUUGAUCAUGGCUCAGGACGAACGCUGGCGGCGUGCUUAACACAUGCAAGUCGAACGGUAAGGCCCUUCGGGGUACACGAGUGGCGAACGGGUGAGUAACACGUGGGUGGUCUGCCCUGCACUUCGGGAUAAGCCUGGGAAACUGGGUCUAAUACCGGAUAGGACCAUGGACUUCACGGUUUGUGGUGGAAAGCUUUUGCGGUGUGGGAUGGGCCCGCGGCCUAUCAGCUUGUUGGUGGGGUAAUGGCCUACCAAGGCGACGACGGGUAGCCGGCCUGAGAGGGUGUCCGGCCACACUGGGACUGAGAUACGGCCCAGACUCCUACGGGAGGCAGCAGUGGGGAAUAUUGCACAAUGGGCGCAAGCCUGAUGCAGCGACGCCGCGUGAGGGAUGACGGCCUUCGGGUUGUAAACCUCUUUCAAUAGGGACGAAGCGCAAGUGACGGUACCUAUAGAAGAAGCACCGGCCAACUACGUG
This 482-nucleotide ribosomal RNA is filed under the name uncultured bacterium. RNAcentral describes it as "bacterial SSU rRNA". It matches the Rfam family "Bacterial small subunit ribosomal RNA", at positions 8 to 507 of the family's 1533-position model. The record is from RNAcentral.